AUCCGGGCUUUUGCCCGGUGCACUCUUCUGCUGUCAGGCCAGCAUCGGUUCGGGCGGUCGGAUAAAGGCUUCGGGAAUGUAGCUCCUCUCGAGGAGUGUUAUAGCCCGUUGCGAAAUGCGGCCAGCCUGAACUGAGGUCCGCGCUUCGGCUAGGAUGCUGGCGUAAUGGUUGUAAGCGGCCCGUCUUGAAACACGGACCAAGGAGUCUAACAUCUGUGCGAGUGUUUGGGUGUCAAACCCGUACGCGUAAUGAAAGUGAACGGAGGCGGGAACCCCUCGGGGUGCACCGUCGACCGAUCCUGAUGUCUUCGGAUGGAUUUGAGUAAGAGCAUAGCUGUUGGGACCCGAAAGAUGGUGAACUAUGCCUGAAUAGGGUGAAGCCAGAGGAAACUCUGGUGGAGGCUCGCAGCGGUUCUGACGUGCAAAUCGAUCGUCAAAUUUGGGCAUAGGGGCGAAAGACUAAUCGAACUAUCUAGUAGCUGGUUCCUGCCGAAGUUUCCCUCAGGAUAGCAGUAACGUUUUCAGUUUUAUGAGGUAAAGCGAAUGAUUAGAGGCCUGGGGGUUGAAACAACCUUCACCUAUUCUCAAACUUUAAAUAUGUAAGAAGUCCUUGUUACUUAGUUGAACGUGGACAUUUGAAUGUAUCGUUACUAGUGGGCCAUUUUUGGUAAGCAGAACUGGCGAUGCGGGAUGAACCGAACGCGGAGUUAAGGUGCCGGAAUGCACGCUCAUCAGACACCACAAAAGGUGUUAGUUCAUCUAG
RNAcentral lists this ribosomal RNA (763 nucleotides) under uncultured Ascomycota. Its description in RNAcentral is "LSU rRNA". It matches the Rfam family "Eukaryotic large subunit ribosomal RNA", at positions 458 to 1236 of the family's 3401-position model. The record is from RNAcentral. Lineage: Eukaryota; Fungi; Ascomycota.